GUGCCAGCAGCCCGGCGGCUGACACGAAGGGUGCGAGCGUUAAUCGGAAUUACUGGGCGUAAAGCGUGCGUAGGUGGUUGGCUAAGUCCGAUGUGAAAGCCCUGGGCUCAACCUGGGAAUGGCAUUGGAUACUGGCUGGCUGGAGUGCGGUAGAGGGCAGCGGAAUUUCCGGUGUAGCGGUGAAAUGCGUAGAGAUCGGAAGGAACACCCGUGGCGAAGGCGGCUGCCUGGACCAGCACUGACACUGAGGCACGAAAGCGUGGGGAGCAAACAGGAUUAGAUACCCUAGUAGUCCACGCCCUAAACGAUGCGAACUGGACGUUGGGCUCAACUUGGAGCUCAGUGUCGAAGCUAACGCGUUAAGUUCGCCGCCUGGGGAGUACGGUCGCAAGACUGAAACUCANAGGAAUUGACGG
Molecule: ribosomal RNA, 416 nt
Filed under: uncultured bacterium
Lineage: Bacteria
Description: bacterial SSU rRNA
Rfam family: Bacterial small subunit ribosomal RNA
Source: RNAcentral